CCGGCAAAACAACAAGGAGACUCUUAUUUUUAUAUUAUAUGACAUUUUAUUUAUUUAUUUAUUUAGAGACAGAGUCUUGCGCUGUUGCCCAGGCUGGAGUGCAGUGGCUUGAUCUCAGCUCACUGCAGCCUUUGCCUCCCAAGUUCAAGCAUUUCUUGUGCCUCAGCUUCCUGAGUAGUUGCGAUUACAGGCAUGCGCCACCACGCCUGGCUAAUUUUUGUAUUUUUAGUAGAGAUGGGGUUUCACCAUGUUGGCCAGGCUGGUCUUGAACUCCUGACCUCAAGUGAUCCACCCUCUUCGGCCUCCCAAAGUGUUGGGAUUACAGGUGUGAGCCACUCCACCUGGCCUGUAUGACAUUUUAAUAACUACAUAUGUUACUUCUAUAAUCACAACCCCUUCUCAAAAAAAAAAAAAAAAAAGACAUAAUGAGGGGGAAAGGGUACCAGGUAUGAUUAUCACAUAAUAACUGUCUUUUUCCUCCUUUAUAAAUAUAUAUGCUUUCCCUGACCCCAACAGUGCCCUUUAGGAGCUCAGCUUGCCACCACGGCACCAAUAGCACCAGUGGCUGCUCCAGCUGAGGAGAUGGGGCAGGCCCUGAUUUGCACAGUUACAACUGGUAUCUGGUUCUACAAGAUGUUAACAGGGUCAUUGCCCUUCAUUCCAUGCACCUAGUUCAGUUCUAAACAAAGGAAGAGCGGUUUUUCUAACCAUCUCACCCCACGAAUCGGAAAGACCAACGGGCUUCCAGUGAGGACGCCCGCAUUGGCGGGCACUUUCACAAGCCUCCUCCCCACACCCCCCGCCCCCCCCAUUCACACAGAUGGCCCUGUGAUUGCCUGCUCCAAUGCCACAAUACAUAACCAACAAAACCCAGCCUGUGAGUCCUGUAAAAUAGAGCUCCUCUAACAAUACUUUUUCCCCUGGGAAGUGUCCUGAUUUUCUGGGGGGUGUCCACCAUUCAGGGAAGUGGGUAGUGGACCAGCAUCAGGGCAGCAGCAGGGAGGAAGGGCAGAGGCGUGACUUGCAGGAGGCGACCCCAAAGGCCAGAGAAGCGGGGUGGGAGGUUCAGGCAGGCAGUACUCUGGAGACAGUGCUCUGACCCAGGGCAAGUGCCACUGAGCAGGACCCUGCCCUCUCGGCAAAACCGCUCCCACAGAGGCCACCGACUUUUUACCAGUUGGAUGCAUUGGCUCCCAGAAACCCAGCCAGCUUAGUGCACUUCUGCAGCCGUCCUUGGAGCUGUGAACUCACAAAAUAUUGAUAAUGCGCUUCAGCCUUCUGUGCCUUGAAAGAGGUUGUUCUCUCGAGUUCCUGAUGUUUCCUCAGGGCCUCAGAAUAAAAAAGGGACUGAGAAAGGAACUAGCAUUUUUGGGGCACCUGCUGCGUAUCCCACUGUAACUAAAGCAUAUCAUUUAACCUUCACGCCAGCUGAGGGUAGGUAUUAUCCCACUUGUUAAAUCUGAGAAAACUCAGAAAGGUGAAGUCACUUGCCCAAGAACUAAUGGCUAGUAAUGGCAGAAAGGCUGUCCAGUGACCUUUAUGGAGUUAGGUGUAGUCGGUCCUCUGUAUCCAUGUUUUCUGCAUCUGUGGAUUCAACCAACCUCACAUCGAAAAUAUAUUCAUUUAGGCUGGGCAUGGUGGUUCACACCUGUAAUCCCAACACUUUGGGAGGCCAAGGUGGGUGGAUCAGCUGAGGUCAGGAGUUUGAGACCAGCCUGACUGACCAACAUGGUGAAACCCUGUCUCUACUAAAAAUACAAAAUUAGCCGGGUGUGGUGGCGGGUGCCUGUAAUUACAGCUACUCAGGAGGCUGGGGCAGGAGAAUCACUAGAACCCGGGAGGCGAAGGGUGCAGUAAGCCAAGAUCAUAACACUGCACUCCAGCCUGGGCAACAAGAGCGAAACUCAGUCUCAAAAAAAAAAAAAAAUCAUUAAAGUGUUUUAAUAGAGGUUAAGAAAAAACAAAACAAAGAAAGGGCCAGGCAUGGUGGUUCAUGACUGUAAUCCUAGCACUUUGGGAGGCUGAGGUGGGAGGAUCUCUUGAGCCCAGGAGGUCAGGACCAGCCUGGGCAACAGUGAGACCUCCAUCUCUAUGAAAAAAAUUUAAAAACAGUUAGCUGGGCAUGGUGAUGUGCACCUGUAGUCCUAGCUACUCGAGGGGAUAAGGUGGGAGAAUCACUUGAGUCCAGGAGGUCAAGGCUACGGUGAGCCAUGACUGUGCCACUGCAUUCUAGCAAGGGUGACAGAGUGAGACCCUGUCUCAAAAAAAAAAAAAAAAAAAAAAGGAUAUAAGAGGGAGGAUGUGGGAUGUGUAUAGGUUAUAUGCAAAUAUAUCAGGGACUUGAGCAUCUGUGGAUUUUCUAUCUGCAGGGGGUCCUGGAACCAAUCCCCCAUGGAUACUGAGGGUUACUGUUGUUUCUUUACAUGUGUGCUUCCUCACUUGUAAGGUGGAAAAGAAUCCUGCAUUCCGCAGAAAGUUAAACAUGACGUUGGUGGUAUGCCCAGUUCCGGCCUAGCACAUAGGACACCAAAGACAAACUAUACCUGAGGCAGCCUGAGGGCGCCCCAGAGAACCAGACGGACAGGAUAAGGCUCUUGACUGUCGCCCACUUGUCAAGGCCACCAGCAGGGAAGGAAGGAACAGAGGCAUCAGAGUGAGGCCUGGUAAGGACCUGGGCUCUGCAGUUGGCUAGCCCAGCUCAGCCUGGUUCAGUCCUUGCCUCCUGGGACCGCAGUUUACCUGUUACUCACCCUUUCUAAGCUUCAGUUGCUCAACUGUGACACAGGGAUGACAGGAGGGCCCUGUCUUGCAGGGAGCAUGAGGGCAAGUGAGCUCGUAGGACUCUUUCCCCACUCCUCCAAGUCCUCCUCUCCCUUCCUAACUUCCAACAUCUCUCCAUGCUUCUCACCUUUGCCAGUGGCUUGCGAAAAUCACCCCCUUUAGGAAGAGUUAAAACUGAAACGUUAACACUAAGACGCAAGGCC
This 2984-nucleotide long non-coding RNA is filed under the name Homo sapiens (human). RNAcentral describes it as "HSALNT0032848". Lineage: Eukaryota; Metazoa; Chordata; Mammalia; Primates; Hominidae. The record is from RNAcentral.